GUUAAAGUCGUGGAAGCGGGUGGGGUAAUAGGGAUGGUGAAAGGGUGAAGAGGAAUGACUGGGAGGCAAGCGGUCGCAUGAGGCUUAGUAAGUCAGAUGUGAAAUCCAUAGGCUCAAACGAGGAACUGCAUUUGAAACUAAUAAACUAGAGUAUCGUAGAGGGGGGUAGAAUUCCAGGUGUAGCGGUGAAAUGCGUAGAUAUCUGGAGGAAUACCAGUGGCGAAGGCGACCUCCUGGACGAAAACUGACGCUCAAGCACGAAAGCAUGGGGAGCAAACAGGAUUAGAUACCCUAGUAGUC
RNAcentral lists this ribosomal RNA (300 nucleotides) under uncultured Corynebacterium sp. RNAcentral describes it as "bacterial SSU rRNA". It matches the Rfam family "Bacterial small subunit ribosomal RNA", at positions 496 to 795 of the family's 1533-position model. The record is from RNAcentral. Lineage: Bacteria; Bacillati; Actinomycetota; Actinomycetes; Mycobacteriales; Corynebacteriaceae.